This 451-nucleotide ribosomal RNA is filed under the name uncultured organism. RNAcentral's name for it is "partial 16S ribosomal RNA". It matches the Rfam family "Bacterial small subunit ribosomal RNA", at positions 333 to 800 of the family's 1533-position model. The record is from RNAcentral.
ACACUCCUACGGGAGGCAGCAGUGGGGAAUAUUGGACAAUGGGCGCAAGCCUGAUCCAGCCAUGCCGCGUGAGUGAUGAAGGCCCUAGGGUUGUAAAGCUCUUUCACCGGUGAAGAUAAUGACGGUAACCGGAGAAGAAGCCCCGGCUAACUUCGUGCCAGCAGCCGCGGUAAUACGAAGGGGGCUAGCGUUGUUCGGAUUUACUGGGCGUAAAGCGCACGUAGGCGGACUAUUAAGUCAGGGGUGAAAUCCCGGGGCUCAACCCCGGAACUGCCUUUGAUACUGGUAGUCUUGAGUUCGAGAGAGGUGAGUGGAAUUCCGGGUGUAGAGGUGAAAUUCGUAGAUAUUCGGAGGAACACCAGUGGCGAAGGCGGCUCACUGGCUCGAUACUGACGCUGAGGUGCGAAAGCGUGGGGAGCAAACAGGAUUAGAAACCCGGGUAGUCCCAUGA